Molecule: ribosomal RNA, 253 nt
Filed under: uncultured bacterium
Lineage: Bacteria
Description: partial 16S ribosomal RNA
Rfam family: Bacterial small subunit ribosomal RNA
Source: RNAcentral
UACGUAGGGAGCAAGCGUUGUCCGGAAUCAUUGGGCGUAAAGCGCGCGUAGGCGGCCUUGUAAGUCCGUUGUGAAAGUCAAAGGCUCAACCUUUGAAAGCCGAUGGAUACUGCAAGGCUGGAGUCCGGAAGAGGCGAGUGGAAUUCCUGGUGUAGCGGUGGAAUGCGCAGAUAUCAGGAGGAACACCGGUGGCGAAGGCGGGUCUCUGGGCAGUAACUGACGCUGAGGAGCGAAAGCGUGGGGAGCGAACAGG